UACAGAGGGGGCAAGCGUUGUUCGGAAUUACUGGGCGUAAAGGGCGCGUAGGCGGCCUUCUAAGUCGAACGUGAAAUCCCCGGGCUCAACCCGGGAACUGCGUCCGAGACUGGAAGGCUCGAAUCCGGGAGAGGGAUGUGGAAUUCCAGGUGUAGCGGUGAAAUGCGUAGAUAUCUGGAGGAACAUCGGUGGCGAAGGCGGCAUCCUGGACCGGUAUUAACGCUGAGGCGCGAAAGCCAGGGGAGCAAACGGG
Molecule: ribosomal RNA, 253 nt
Filed under: uncultured bacterium
Lineage: Bacteria
Description: partial 16S ribosomal RNA
Rfam family: Bacterial small subunit ribosomal RNA
Source: RNAcentral